AGUCUUUAGGGUAUGAGAAUCGUCUUCUCUCGUGGGAUUUAGUGUGUAAAACUAAGGAGAGAAAGUUUAGGUAUUAAACUGAGGAGAAAAAAAUUAGGUAUUGCCACCCUCGCAUGAAGGAAUAAGGUUUUGGGAAGAUUUCUAGUAUCCUUUUCUCUUUCUUAACAAAAUUGUCUUUGUUUCGUUUGUAUCCAAUAUAAAUAACUCAAGAAAUGAAGGAACUCUUUGACUUAAUAUUCUCAUGCUGGUAUAUCAUUGAAAAUUCAUACACCUGAGCUUGCUUUUCUGAAUAUGCUAUGCUAUGCAUGGUUAAACAAUUGAAGCACCUUCUGUUAAUUUCAAUUUUUUGCUCUUCAGGAGGUCCUGAAGGUAUUGAAAACCCAGGAAUCGAGAAAGGAGCCUAAGCCGUGAUGGACUCGGAAGGAUUUGAGUUUCUCAAGGAAAACUGCCCGCUGUUGCAGUCGGAGCUCCUGAAGACGGUUGCAGGGUAUGAAGAGGAACACGGCGGAGGGGCGAGGAGUCAGAGUGUGUGGGCCCAGUUUUCCAAUAUCAAUGAUACGAACGAUAGGAGUGUGAGGCGGCAGCAAAUGUGGGAAAAUGGCGAGGAGAGAAAUCGAAGCUUAUGGAUCCAACUCUCGGAUGGCAGCGGUGAUGUGAGUGGGAGGAGUCCUAGACAAGAAGGCUGACAGAGGUAUAACUGUGCGUGUUGUUCUUUUUGACUGGUUACAUUGAUGACCACCUAUGAGAGCGGGAAAAAGAAAUGACCAUGAUAAAGAUUGAAUAAUGUAGAAAAGAAAAGACUUGAUCUGUGUUGUUGUAUUUCAAUGUCGAAAAGAAACACUUGAUCUGUGUUGUUGUAUUUCUUUACAUGUUGAAUCGGCAAUGAUGCUGAUUUAUGAUUAAAAAUGUAGCAUUGAGAUUGUAA
This is a long non-coding RNA of Morus notabilis, 925 nucleotides long. RefSeq lists it as uncharacterized. The transcript has 2 exons. NCBI's taxonomy places the organism in Eukaryota, Viridiplantae, Streptophyta, Magnoliopsida, Rosales, Moraceae. The record is from RefSeq and is a predicted model, not a curated record.